UGCACCUGUGGAGGGCGAAGCAUAUCCUUUGGUAAAGACCGGAUGAUUUUGCAGGUAAUCGGGGUAUGUUCAGUCUUGUGAAUACAAGCACGCUUUGUAUUCUUCAAAGUUUUUC
RNAcentral lists this small RNA (115 nucleotides) under human gut metagenome. Its description in RNAcentral is "RT-5 RNA". It matches the Rfam family "RT-5 RNA". From Rfam's summary of the family: Clostridium (Firmicutes). Environment (Cow rumen (57)) The record is from RNAcentral.